This 275-nucleotide long non-coding RNA is filed under the name Gallus gallus (chicken). The record is from RNAcentral. Lineage: Eukaryota; Metazoa; Chordata; Aves; Galliformes; Phasianidae.
CCUGUGUGCUGGUGGGGGGUGUUGGGGCAGCAGGGCUGGGCUGGCUGCGGGUUGUCAUUGAUCUCCUCUGGAGAGAGUCGGCCGCCGGCGGUGGUUUCCUGGUGCAGGUGCACGCAUGUGGUGGUGGAGGCGGUGGUGGGAGAGGUCUGAACGUGAACUGGUUGUGUGGGCUCCCCGGCAUGUCAUUCUCCCCAUCAGACUUCCUCUCAUGGUCAGUGUCAGUCAGGGACAACGCUGAGUUUGCCCGGCUUGACAGACAGGAGCUGUGUUCUGAC